AUUGAACGCUGGCGGCAGGCCUAACACAUGCAAGUCGAACGAGUGGCGGACGGGUGAGUAAUGUCUGGGAAACUGCCUGAUGGAGGGGGAUAACUACUGGAAACGGUAGCUAAUACCGCAUACCAUCGGAUGUGCCCAGGUGGGUGUAGCUAGUAGGGGGGGUAAAGGCGCACCUAGGCGACGAUCCCUAGCUGGUCUGAGAGGCUGACCGGCCACACUGGAACUGAGACACGGUCCAGACUCAUACGGGAGGCAGCAGUUGGGAAUAUUGGACAAGGGGCGCAAGCCUGAUGCAGCCACGCCGCGUGUAUGAAGAAGGCUUUCGGGUUGUAAAGUACUGUCAGCGGGGAGGCGUUACUCGCAGAAGAAGCACCGGCUAACUCCGUGCCAGCAGCCGCGGUAAUAC
RNAcentral lists this ribosomal RNA (406 nucleotides) under uncultured bacterium. Its description in RNAcentral is "partial 16S ribosomal RNA". It matches the Rfam family "Bacterial small subunit ribosomal RNA", at positions 29 to 526 of the family's 1533-position model. The record is from RNAcentral.